This 1082-nucleotide ribosomal RNA is filed under the name Apheloria sp. LS-2010. Its description in RNAcentral is "partial 16S ribosomal RNA". The record is from RNAcentral. Lineage: Eukaryota; Metazoa; Arthropoda; Diplopoda; Polydesmida; Xystodesmidae.
UAUGUUUUGGGUUUUUAUUUUGAUUAUUAGUAAAAAUUUUUUUAGUAGUUUGAGCGAGUUUUAUUGGUUUCCUAGAGAGGAUUAAGUACUGAGAAGGAAAGUUAAAUUAUUUAUUUGGAAUAUUAGGUUUUUUUAGUACCUUUUGUAUUAGGGUUGAUUUAUGUAGUUUUGCCUUUGUUAUUUCUCGAUGAGUAUCGGGCUAUUUUUCUUUGGUUUAUUCUCAUUGUAUAGAGUUGAAUAGGGGAUUAUAGGUAUGAAAUAUUAUUCAAGUUGCUUUUUAUCUGGUUCUUCAAGAAAUUUAAUAGUCGGUAAUAUUAUUAUGACGAUAGGCAGGGAUUAGCUUGUUUAUUUUUUAUAUUGGGUUUGGGUUGAAUUUUGUUUGUUAAGUUGAUAGUGCUUAUUUUAAUGGAGUUAUUAUUGAGCAGAUUGAUUUUAUUAUUUUUUGUUUUUAUUUUUAUAUUGGGGUUAUGUUAUUAAUUUUUAGUGGUUUGUAAUAAUGAUUGUAUUAGUAAUAAUUUUUAUUAGUGUUGCUUUGGCUUUUCUGGUUAAGUUAUUAGUUUGGUGGUAUUUUAAAUUAAAACUGAUGAAUUCGGCAAUAUGAACUUCUGACUGUUUAGCAAAGACAUUGUUUUUUGUUGUGGUAAAAAAUAAGUUCUGUCCACUGCUAUAAGGUGAAGGGCUGCAGUAUUUUGACUGUAUGAAGGUAGCAUAAUCAUUAGCUUUUUAAUUGGGGGCUGGUAUGAAGGUGAAACAGGGGUUUGCUGUAUUUGUUUUAUUUAUUGAAUUUUAUUUUCAUGUGAAAAAUCAUGAUUGGUUUAGUGGGACAAGAAGACCCUAAUAAGUUUUAUUUUUUUUCUUAAUGCGUGUAUAGUUUUGGAUUUAUGCAAUUUAUUUGGGGGAGUUUGGCUGGGGCGGCAGUCUAUUUAACAUAGAUUAAUUUUUAACUUUUUGUGACGUUUAUUUGGACCUAGUUUGUUUAGAUUGGUGUUAAACUACUGUAGGGAUAACAGCGUGAUUUUUUUUGAGAGUUCUAAUUGACAAUAAAGUUUGCGACCUCGAUGUUGGAUUAAGAAGAGCGUGGC